This 303-nucleotide long non-coding RNA is filed under the name Felis catus (domestic cat). RNAcentral's name for it is "lncRNA (ENSFCAG00000046768.2)". The record is from RNAcentral. Lineage: Eukaryota; Metazoa; Chordata; Mammalia; Carnivora; Felidae.
GUAGACUUGCUCUGUGGUCAGCAAGGCUUUGGAGGGAGGUGCUGUAUGCUUUCAUUGUCAAAGAAGUCAGAGUCUUUCCUUAACUAAUUGUAUCUGACAAAUCCAAAGGCAAGGCGAGGGUAGAAAGUGAAUCUCAGGGGCCCGAGGAGAGUACCAGGGGCCAGCGGCCUGAUGAUUGGAAGUCUUGCGAGACCUGCAGGAGAGGAAUGGACAGCACAAGUGACGGAUGUGAGACACAAUCGAGCAUGCCCCCGAGCAGAAAACCAUCACGACUGGUCUUACACGUGUGUGCGUUCUCUGAAU